This 332-nucleotide ribosomal RNA is filed under the name uncultured bacterium. RNAcentral describes it as "bacterial SSU rRNA". It matches the Rfam family "Bacterial small subunit ribosomal RNA", at positions 568 to 898 of the family's 1533-position model. The record is from RNAcentral.
UGCGUAGGCGGCCCGGAAAGUUGGGUGUGAAAGCCCUCGGCUCAACCGAGGAAUUGCGCCCAAAACUACCGGGCUCGAGGAAGACAGAGGUAAGCGGAACUUAAGGUGGAGCGGUGAAAUGCGUUGAUAUCUUAAGGAACACCAGGAGCGAAAGCGGCUUACUGGGUCUUUUCUGACGCUGAGGCACGAAAGCUAGGGGAGCGAACGGGAUUAGAUACCCCGGUAGUCCUAGCCGUAAACGAUGAGCACUGGGUUGGAGGGCCCCCCAUAGCCUUCUAGCCGUAGCGAAAGUGUUAAGUGCUCCGCCUGGGGAGUAUGGUCGCAAGGCUGAA